AUUGAACGCUGGCGGCAUGCUUUACACAUGCAAGUCGAACGGCAGCGGAGAGUGCUUGCGCUCUGCCGGCGAGUGGCGAACGGGUGAGUAACAUAUUGGAACGUACCGAGUAAAGGGGGAUAACUAUCCGAAAGGAUAGCUAAUACCGCAUACGCCUCGAGAAGGAAAGUGGGGGAUCUUCGGACCUCACGUUAUUCGAGCGGCCAAUAUCUGAUUAGCUAGUUGGUGGGGUAAAGGCCUACCAAGGCGACGAUCAGUAGCGGGUCUGAGAGGACGAUCGGCCACACUGGGACUGAGACACGGCCCAGACUCCUACGGGAGGCAGCAGUGGGGAAUUUUGGACAAUGGGCGCAAGCCUGAUCCAGCCAUGCCGCGUGUCUGAAGAAGGCCUUCGGGUUGUAAAGGACUUUUGUUAGGGAAGAAAAGAAAUGGGUUAAUACCCCAUUUUGCUGACGGUACCUAAAGAAUAAGCACCGGCUAACUACGUG
This 488-nucleotide ribosomal RNA is filed under the name uncultured bacterium. RNAcentral's name for it is "partial 16S ribosomal RNA". It matches the Rfam family "Bacterial small subunit ribosomal RNA", at positions 30 to 507 of the family's 1533-position model. The record is from RNAcentral.